CAACGAAUCUUCCCCAAUGCCGGAAACGGUGAGGGAGCGACGCCGCGUGAAGGACGAAGUUCUUCGGAAUGUAAACUUCUAAAGGGGUUAUGAAAGUCCAGCGCCUAACAUGCGCAAAGAUUGAUCAGAUCCUGAUAAGGGGCGGCUAACUCUGUGCCAGCAGCCGCGGUAAUACAGAGGCCCCAAGCGUUACUGAGAAUCACUGGGUUUAAAGGGUGCGUAGGUGGCGCGUUAAGUCCGUUGUGAAAUCCCUGGGCUCAACCCAGGAAAUGCUUCGGAUACUGGCGUGCUUGAGGCUGGUAUGGGUCACUGGAACUGACGGUGGAGCGGUGAAAUGCGUAGAUAUCGUCAGGAACGCCAAUGGUGAAGACAGGUGACUGGGCCAGUUCUGACACUGAGGCACGAAAGCGUGGGGAGCGAACGGGAUUAGAUACCCCCGUAGUCC
RNAcentral lists this ribosomal RNA (445 nucleotides) under uncultured bacterium. RNAcentral's name for it is "bacterial SSU rRNA". It matches the Rfam family "Bacterial small subunit ribosomal RNA", at positions 355 to 796 of the family's 1533-position model. The record is from RNAcentral.